GACGAACGCUGGCGGCGUGCUUAACACAUGCAAGUCGAACGGAAAGGCCCAGCUUGCUGGGUACUCGAGUGGCGAACGGGUGAGUAACACGUGGGUGAUCUGCCCUGGACUCUGGGAUAAGCCUGGGAAACUGGGUCUAAUACCGGAUAUUCACUUUCUCUCGCAUGGGGGUUGGUGGAAAGCUCUUGCGGUUCAGGAUGGGCCCGCGGCCUAUCAGCUUGUUGGUGGGGUAAUGGCCUACCAAGGCGACGACGGGUAGCCGACCUGAGAGGGUGAUCGGCCACACUGGGACUGAGACACGGCCCAGACUCCUACGGGAGGCAGCAGUGGGGAAUAUUGCACAAUGGGCGCAAGCCUGAUGCAGCGACGCCGCGUGAGGGAUGACGGCCUUCGGGUUGUAAACCUCUUUCACCAGGGACGAAGCGUGAGUGACGGUACCUGGAGAAGAAGCACCGGCCAACUAC
RNAcentral lists this ribosomal RNA (464 nucleotides) under uncultured Actinomycetes bacterium. RNAcentral describes it as "bacterial SSU rRNA". It matches the Rfam family "Bacterial small subunit ribosomal RNA", at positions 28 to 504 of the family's 1533-position model. The record is from RNAcentral. Lineage: Bacteria; Bacillati; Actinomycetota; Actinomycetes.